Long non-coding RNA from Siniperca chuatsi (mandarin fish), 821 nucleotides. RefSeq lists it as uncharacterized. NCBI's taxonomy places the organism in Eukaryota, Metazoa, Chordata, Actinopteri, Centrarchiformes, Sinipercidae. The record is from RefSeq and is a predicted model, not a curated record. The transcript has 4 exons.
CAGGUCCUUCAUGUCAACAGGUCCUUCAUCAGCAGGUCCUUUGUCAGUAGGUCUUUCAGGUCUUCCAUGUCAAGCAGGUCCUUCAUAUCAGCAGGUCCUUCAUGUCAGCAGGUCUUCCAUGUCAGCAGUUCCUUCAUAUCUUCCUGCAGGUCUUAAAAAAUGGAUACAUAGUUUUCCUGUAUUAUCUGUAACAACACCUCCCAGCCUUGGCCUCACCUCCUCCAGCACUAUGAGGAUUAGCAACAACCAAGACAUCAUGCUGCCACAGACCAGCCACAGCACCAUCUUAACUGUAAAAUGGACACAUUACUGCUGGACCAUACAGACAUUUCGUGGCAGUCCCAGUCAUUCUUCAAUGCAGACGACAAGAUAACACCUGCCAACCUUGGUGGCUCUGAGACACUGAACGAGUCAAUACCACAACCAAAACAUCAUGCUGCCACAGACCAGUGCUGCAACAACAUCAUGAUUAACUGUCAGUCAAUAGCAGACCCAUCCCUGCUGGACUACAUGUACACAUGUAUUCUUCCUGCCAGUGCCAAAGUUUCUUUACAACAGAGCAUAAGGCCGCCAUCUGUUGUGAUCCCUGAACAUCACAGUGAAGAAACUCAGGACUGCACAGAGAGCUAAACAAUGAAAACAAGCUGAACAUCAUGCAUCUUGCCAAAAUGUCCAUGCAAAAUAACACUGGGAUUUUCUGUCCUGUAGCAGUGUUUAAGGACCAGCUUAGCACUCCACAGAACCAUCUGUACAUCCAUCCAUAAUUUUUAGAAGAAGUGACUCAUCUGUACAGCAUUAAUCUCAUCCCUGAACAAGUUCUA